GAAUUCGUGUCGUCGCUUGCAUUGAACGCAUGUGAGUGCGUUGCUUACGUAGGUGCCCCCCUUUCUCCUGCAUCCGUAUGCUUAUCUCUGUCUUGUAUACACACAAUGCCCCGCAUAACCUCCCAUCACACGAUCCCGCCACUACCGUCGCAGGCGCCAGGCCGGCACGGAGCUGCAGUUGGGAUGGCCUCGGCAGUCGCCGAGCCCGACUCAGCUCAGAUGGCACAGGAUAAGAUUACGCUGCUGCAGGCACUGGUGCAGCCCACACGGUACCGCCGCCGUGUGCAGCCGCAGUUUGAGGCCUUCAACCUCGAGGACCCGGACUACAUGAAGUACAGCCUAAAGGCCUACUGGCCCCAUCAUCUCGGCAGCGGUGCUGUAACCGCUGAUCGUGCUGCGCCACGUCAGCCAGGGUCUGAAAACCGUGGCAGCACCUCCUUAGCAGCGGCGCAGUCCCGCAUGUCACCGCAGCCACUUUGGCUGGCGAACGGUGCACCUCCGUCACUCUCGGCGGCAUAUGGUGGUCCACAUCGCAUGGGGUCGUGCAACAUGGACCGUGGCCAGCAGCCGCACUGCAAGGAACUCACGACACGGCCGCCGCCGGUCCUUCCUGGUGCUGGUCGCAGAAGCAGCUCAUCUGGCUAUCGACUUUCACCUGGCCGCAGAGAUGAGGAGGAGGGAUGGCCCACCACGCUGUCGGGAUACCAAGGCGCCAGCGAACUGUACAGCGAACACGACGACUAUAGUGCAGGUGGUGCAUCUGACCACGCCGCAUACAAUGACGGCCACCGCCAUUCAGAGCGACCGGCACCGCAGCACCCCAAACAACAGCCACACGAGUGCUCGUCAUCUUCGCAGCAAGAGGAGGAGAACAGAAGUCGCCGCCCCUCCGCGUACGACACCCAACCCGAGCGCGAGAAAAGGCACCGUGAUGAAGAGCGACCGGCUGGCCAGCCUCGCCGCUCGAGCACUUCGAACGCUCACGCGCUCAGCAUUGACGAUGGCGCGCACCGGCGCUCGGGGCUCGGCGGCUGCGGCGACUCUGCCACGGCUGACUGCCACGACCAAUAUGGGCCUAGAACUGGAGAGUGUGGCGUAGACAGCAGCCGCCCGCCGCGCUUCGAGGCGGCUCUGCCGGUGGGGGCGCAGCAUUAUGGAUGGCCGCACACCGUCGGUGCCAACGGAGGCGCGAGGGACACUGUCGGCAAUGGUCAAGUGGGCGAAGCGGAUGAAGGCGAGGGCUUUGAAGACGGCGAUGGCUCGUAUGGGGAUGGCGGUGCAGAGUGGGGGGCUGCUCUCGAUGAGUGGGACGAUGACGAGGAAGGCGGUGCGGCCCCAGUCAGGGGGCACAACCUUUACGCCAACGACGGCGAGGAGUGGAUGGACACGAGGGACGGUGCGUAUCAUGACCGUGAUGAUGACGCUGACAGCGAGCCCUCACAUCUCCGGCCGCCUCCGCCUGCAUCGAAGAAGCAGCGACCUCAGCCGUCUCUGCGUGCGUCGUUGCCAGCGGAGGCGCCAGCUCCUCCAUCACAGCAUCGACACCAGCGCCCCACUAGUCAUAUCCAGCAGCAGGCGGCUGGCGUGGCAGCGUUGCAGCCGUCGAGCAAAGGGUCGCAGCAGCCGCGGCCCGUCGAGGGAGAGGUCGACCAGUCUUCCAAGAGGGACAAGAAGAAGACGCGGUCGAACAAGCACAACCCGCGCGCCUUCCUGAACAGGACGGCGCACACUUGGGUAUCGACGAACACGACCACCACGGUGAUUCUGCCUCCCGCCACGGUGCCGCUAGUGCCGAUGUCGGCGUUUGCCAUGGCCGAGGUGAGGCAGCCCGUGGAUGGCCGCUGGGCUGCCUCGGCAGUGUUACCCCCGCCGUCGCCACACUCUAUGAGUUCUCAAUCAAUGCCGGGCUAUCAGCAGCGGCGCUCGCAGAUGGAGGUGCUCGAUGACAGCGGUAACUCCAUCUCGAAUGGACGCAAGCACGUUGGCAACUCCCUUCCAUGCUUGCCAAGCCGCAACACGGUAUAGGAGGAUGCGGUGCACCACAGCAUGCCUGAGCUGUGAUGGAGCGUGUGCAGUUCCACCACAGGACCGGGGGCGGGGGGAAGUGGCUUGCCAGCAUGAAUGUGUGUGUGUGCGGUCUCUCUCGCUUUUUCUUUUUGGGUUUAAACCGCCCACCGUUUCAAGAAUUCAUAGUUGAGGGUGAGCCUUUCCGGGGGCUGAGGCGAUGGGGGCGGGGGGCUGCGGUGACGGCCAACGAAAGAGGAGAGUGCAGCAGCUCUCUGCAUCUGCGCAGAAGGGGCGAGAGAUAGAGGCAGGCGGAGUGGGAUGAGAGAAAUUGAAUACACGGACACGCACAGACGGAGCUUACUGGCAAACAUCCCGCCCUUCCUGUGUGUGUGUGUGGAGGGGGGAGGGUGAGCGGAGGCGGAGCGCGAAGCUUUAUGACAUGAAGCUGAUCACGCCUUCGACCUUGCCUUCUCGUUCUCGUUCUCCGCACACCCCAAUCUCGCCCACCUUCACAUCCGCCAGGGCGCAUCCCCGCCGAACCGCCACAGCCCCGAGAGUUGGUACCGGCACCUGCGCAUAAACAGCGGCCGACCUUCUCCCCCCUCUCCCACCGCUGCUCUUUGCUCACCCGCCCGCAUGGCCGAAGACGCCUCUGACGUUUCAAAUUUUUUUUUAUUUUCUGGACCAUUGUUUCUUCGGCGCCGGCGUCCCCCCUCUUCCUCCCUCCUCCUCAUACCCUCUUUCCCUCCCAUCCGCAUCCACGCGCACGCAUGGCUCUGUCUCCUACUGCCUGUGUUGGCCUGGCGCUUCUUUCCGUUGUACAUUGCUGUGCUCUGUUUCUCUGCAGGCGGGGCUUUACUUCCUGGCGCAGCGGCUCGACCCUCGCUCACAUCCUCUUCUCUUGUUGUUGUUGUCGUUUGUGGCUGCGCACGCGCCUCCCUCGCUGCCUCGGCGUCUUUUGUUACUGCGCUCUGUGUCACUGCCGGACCCCUUUGAUGACCGGAGGAAGGGGCGAGAGAGCUGAUGUGUAUGGGUGGAUGACGGGAGAGGAGGUGGCGGGUGGGGGAGGGCUCUUGUGGGUGUGGGUAUGUGUGCAUGUAAGAUGUGUGUCGGUGUCGGCAUCGCCCCGCUUCCCUCCUUCCUCACCUCUCACUCUCGCGCUCUCUCAAACGGUUUGUGAAUCUUCUCCUUCCGUCUGCCACUGCCUUUUGUGGGUUUGCCGGCGUGUCUUGGGUGUGCGACGUCUCUGUGCUUCGGCGGCGGCGGCGGGUGGUGGGCACCGCUGCUCUUUUUUUUUUACUUCAUUGAUGUGCAGGCUUGUGUAGGUGUUCGCUCG
RNAcentral lists this unclassified non-coding RNA (3343 nucleotides) under Leishmania donovani. RNAcentral describes it as "gene:LdHU3.16.1360(CDS-product:hypothetical_prote in_conserved)". Lineage: Eukaryota; Euglenozoa; Kinetoplastea; Trypanosomatida; Trypanosomatidae. The record is from RNAcentral.